GGAAAAGAAACCAACAGGGAUUGCCUCAGUAACGGCGAGUGAAGCGGCAACAGCUCAAAUUUGAAAUCUGGCCCCAGGCCCGAGUUGUAAUUUGCAGAGGAUGCUUUUGGCGCGGUGCCUUCCGAGUUCCCUGGAACGGGACGCCAUAGAGGGUGAGAGCCCCGUCUGGUUGGACACCAAGCCUCUGUAAAGCUCCUUCGACGAGUCGAGUAGUUUGGGAAUGCUGCUCAAAAUGGGAGGUAUAUGUCUUCUAAAGCUAAAUACCGGCCAGAGACCGAUAGCGCACAAGUAGAGUGAUCGAAAGAUGAAAAGCACUUUGAAAAGAGAGUUAAAUAGCACGUGAAAUUGUUAAAAGGGAAGCGUUUAUGACCAGACUUGGGCCGGUUAAUCAUCCAGCGUUCUCGCUGGUGCACUUUGCCGGUCCAGGCCAGCAUCAGUUCGUCGCGGGGGAUAAAGGCGUCGGGAAUGUGGCUCCUCGGAGUGUUAUAGCCCUUCGCGCAAUACCCUGCGGUGGACUGAGGUUCGCGCUCUGCAAGGAUGCUGGCGUAAUGGUCAUCAACGACCCGUCUUGAAACACGGACCAAGGAGUCGUCUUCGUAUGCGAGUGUUCGGGUGUAAAACCCCUACGCGUAAUGAAAGUGAACGCAGGUGAGAGCUUCGGCGCAUCAUCGACCGAUCCUGAUGUUCUCGGAUGGAUUUGAGUAAGAGCAUACGGGGCCGGACCCGAAAGAAGGUGAACUAUGCCUGUAUAGGGUGAAGCCAGAGGAAACUCUGGUGGAGGCUCGCAGCGGUUCUGACGUGCAAAUCGAUCGUCAAAUAUGGGCAUGGGGGCGAAAGACUAAUCGAACCUUCUAGUAGCUGGUUUCCGCCGAAGUUUCCCUCAGGAUAGCAGUGUUGAACUCAGUUUUAUGAGGUAAAGCGAAUGAUUAGGGACCCGGGGGCGCUAUUUAGCCUUCAUCCAUUCUCAAACUUUAAAUAUGUAAGAAGCCCUUGUUACUUAAUUGAACGUGGGCAUUCGAAUGUAUCAACACUAGUGGGCCAUUUUUGGUAAGCAGAACUGGCGAUGCGGGAUGAACCGAACGCGAGGUUAAGGUGCCGGAGUAGACGCUCAUCAGACACCACAAAAGGUGUUAGUACAUUAUGACAAUAGGACGGUGGCCAUGGAAGUCGGAAUCCGCUAAGGACUGUGUAACAACUCACCUAUCGAAUGUACUAGCCCUGAAAAUGGAUGGCGCUCAAGCGUCUCACCCAUACCUCGCCCUCAGGGUAGAAACGAUGCCCUGAGGAGUAGGCGGACGUGGAG
This 1303-nucleotide ribosomal RNA is filed under the name Stachybotrys echinatus. RNAcentral's name for it is "eukaryotic LSU rRNA". It matches the Rfam family "Eukaryotic large subunit ribosomal RNA", at positions 55 to 1396 of the family's 3401-position model. The record is from RNAcentral. Lineage: Eukaryota; Fungi; Ascomycota; Sordariomycetes; Hypocreales; Stachybotryaceae.